CCUACGGGAGGCAGCAGUGGGGAAUUUUGGACAAUGGGCGCAAGCCUGAUCCAGCAAUGCCGCGUGCAGGAUGAAGGCCUUCGGGUUGUAAACUGCUUUUGUACGGAACGAAACGGCCCUUUCUAAUACAAGGGGCUAAUGACGGUACCGUAAGAAUAAGCACCGGCUAACUACGUGCCAGCAGCCGCGGUAAUACGUAGGGUGCGAGCGUUAAUCGGAAUUACUGGGCGUAAAGCGUGCGCAGGCGGUUAUAUAAGACAGAUGUGAAAUCCCCGGGCUCAACCUGGGACCUGCAUUUGUGACUGUAUAGCUAGAGUACGGUAGAGGGGGAUGGAAUUCCGCGUGUAGCAGUGAAAUGCGUAGAUAUGCGGAGGAACACCGAUGGCGAAGGCAAUCCCCUGGACCUGUACUGACGCUCAUGCACGAAAGCGUGGGGAGCAAACAGGAUUAGAUACCCUGGUAGUCCACGCCCUAAACGAUGUCAACUGGUUNUUGGGUCUUCACUGACUCAGUAACGAAGCUAACGCGUGAAGUUGACCGCCUGGGGAUACGGCCGCAAGGUUGAAACUUAAGGAAUUGACCGGNNGAGAGNGCGAGACGACGACGAGGAGAGG
RNAcentral lists this ribosomal RNA (614 nucleotides) under uncultured bacterium. RNAcentral's name for it is "bacterial SSU rRNA". It matches the Rfam family "Bacterial small subunit ribosomal RNA", at positions 338 to 946 of the family's 1533-position model. The record is from RNAcentral.